This 253-nucleotide ribosomal RNA is filed under the name uncultured bacterium. RNAcentral's name for it is "partial 16S ribosomal RNA". It matches the Rfam family "Bacterial small subunit ribosomal RNA", at positions 524 to 776 of the family's 1533-position model. The record is from RNAcentral.
UACGUAGGGUGCGAGCGUUGUCCGGAAUUACUGGGCGUAAAGAGCUCGUAGGUGGUUUGUCGCGUUGUUCGUGAAAACCGGGGGCUUAACCCUCGGCGUGCGGGCGAUACGGGCAGACUUGAGUACUGCAGGGGAGACUGGAAUUCCUGGUGUAGCGGUGGAAUGCGCAGAUAUCAGGAGGAACACCGGUGGCGAAGGCGGGUCUCUGGGCAGUAACUGACGCUGAGGAGCGAAAGCGUGGGGAUCAAACAGG